GAAAGUAUGGCUCAGUGGUAGAGCACAUGCUUAGCAGGCACAAGGUCUGGGGUUCAAUUCCCGGCACCUCCA
Molecule: transfer RNA, 72 nt
Filed under: Camelus bactrianus (Bactrian camel)
Lineage: Eukaryota; Metazoa; Chordata; Mammalia; Artiodactyla; Camelidae
Also listed under: 2 other names
Rfam family: tRNA
About the family: Transfer RNA (tRNA) molecules are approximately 80 nucleotides in length. Their secondary structure includes four short double-helical elements and three loops (D, anti-codon, and T loops).
Source: Rfam by way of RNAcentral